RNAcentral lists this ribosomal RNA (1114 nucleotides) under Oceanobacillus sp. RNAcentral describes it as "bacterial SSU rRNA". It matches the Rfam family "Bacterial small subunit ribosomal RNA", at positions 359 to 1473 of the family's 1533-position model. Lineage: Bacteria; Bacillati; Bacillota; Bacilli; Caryophanales; Bacillaceae. The record is from RNAcentral.
GGGUUCGAAUGCACGAGUCUGACGGAGCACGCCGCGUGAGUGAUGAAGGUUUUCGGAUCGUAAAACUCUGUUGUUAGGGAAGAACAAGUACUAUAGUAACUGAUGGUACCUUGACGGUACCUAACCAGAAAGCCACGGCUAACUACGUGCCAGCAGCCGCGGUAAUACGUAGGUGGCAAGCGUUGUCCGGAAUUAUUGGGCGUAAAGCGCUCGCAGGCGGUUCUUUAAGUCUGAUGUGAAAUCUUACGGCUCAACCGUAAACGUGCAUUGGAAACUGGGGAACUUGAGUGCAGAAGAGGAGAGUGGAAUUCCACGUGUAGCGGUGAAAUGCGUAGAGAUGUGGAGGAACACCAGUGGCGAAGGCGACUCUCUGGUCUGUAACUGACGCUGAGGAGCGAAAGCGUGGGGAGCGAACAGGAUUAGAUACCCUGGUAGUCCACGCCGUAAACGAUGAGUGCUAGGUGUUAGGGGGUUUCCGCCCCUUAGUGCUGAAGUUAACGCAUUAAGCACUCCGCCUGGGGAGUACGGCCGCAAGGCUGAAACUCAAAAGAAUUGACGGGGGCCCGCACAAGCGGUGGAGCAUGUGGUUUAAUUCGAAGCAACGCGAAGAACCUUACCAGGUCUUGACAUCCUCUGAACACUCUAGAGAUAGAGUUUUCCCUUCGGGGACAGAGUGACAGGUGGUGCAUGGUUGUCGUCAGCUCGUGUCGUGAGAUGUUGGGUUAAGUCCCGCAACGAGCGCAACCCUUGAUCUUAGUUGCCAGCAUUAAGUUGGGCACUCUAAGGUGACUGCCGGUGACAAACCGGAGGAAGGUGGGGAUGACGUCAAAUCAUCAUGCCCCUUAUGACCUGGGCUACACACGUGCUACAAUGGAUGGAACAAAGGGAAGCGAACCCGCGAGGUCAAGCAAAUCCCACAAAACCAUUCUCAGUUCGGAUUGUAGGCUGCAACUCGCCUACAUGAAGCCGGAAUCGCUAGUAAUCGCGGAUCAGCAUGCCGCGGUGAAUACGUUCCCGGGCCUUGUACACACCGCCCGUCACACCACGAGAGUUGGUAACACCCGAAGUCGGUGAGGUAACCGUAAGGAGCCAGCCGCCGAAGGUGGACUAAGUU